Molecule: ribosomal RNA, 253 nt
Filed under: Ruminococcus bromii
Lineage: Bacteria; Bacillati; Bacillota; Clostridia; Eubacteriales; Oscillospiraceae
Description: partial 16S ribosomal RNA
Rfam family: Bacterial small subunit ribosomal RNA
Source: RNAcentral
UACGUAGGGUGCGAGCGUUAAUCGGAAUUACUGGGCGUAAAGCGUGCGCAGGCGGUUGGGUAAGACAGAUGUGAAAUCUAUGGGCUUAACCCAUAAACUGCAUUUGAAACUGUAUCUCUUGAGUGCUGGAGAGGUAGAUGGAAUUCCUUGUGUAGCGGUGAAAUGCGUAGAGAUGGGGAGGAACACCAGUGGCGAAGGCGGCCUGCUGGGCUUUAACUGACGCUGAGGCACGAAAGCGUGGGUAGCAAACAGG